GGAGAGGGGCGACAGAGCCAGCCAGGACAUGGGACCAGGGACAUGAAAGAUGCAGAGAGGGUUCAGAAUGCAGACAAGGUUUUGUACCUUCCAAGGGGAACCUGCCUCACAUCAACCUGGAAUCUCAUGUGGGUCAUGGCCUGUCUCUGUCAGUCUCUAGCUCACAGCCUGGAAAGUCAGGACAAGCUCUGCCCUAGAGCUGCAGCCUUCUCCCUUUCAUAGCUUUCUAAGAAGAAGACCCUCAGAGCCAUGCAGCCAAUCAAGAGAUACCGGACGACAGAUUAGAGGGACCCUCCUCAAAGCCGCACAGCUGAAUGGGAAGAGCAACACUCCAGUGAACAGCCACAGCUCCUGUUACCUGUAGAGUGAUCCUGCCAGCUGUGCGGCACCGCCUGCCCUGCCAAGAGCUCACCUUUAAAGUACUUCGUAUCAAUUUCGAUUUGAGUGAUGACUCCAGGAUGUGCUAAUCGGAACACUGCCCACUCACAACCCGGGACAUGGAGCAGGCCAUUCUCAUUACCCUGGAAUUGAAAAUAAACAAUAAAUCAAAAGCCAGCUUGAGUUUGA
Mastomys coucha (southern multimammate mouse) is the source of this 567-nucleotide long non-coding RNA. RefSeq lists it as uncharacterized. NCBI's taxonomy places the organism in Eukaryota, Metazoa, Chordata, Mammalia, Rodentia, Muridae. The record is from RefSeq and is a predicted model, not a curated record. The transcript is spliced from 2 exons.